This 388-nucleotide ribosomal RNA is filed under the name uncultured bacterium. RNAcentral's name for it is "bacterial SSU rRNA". It matches the Rfam family "Bacterial small subunit ribosomal RNA", at positions 355 to 761 of the family's 1533-position model. The record is from RNAcentral.
UCGGGAAUUUUGGGCAAUGGGGGAAACCCUGACCCAGCAACGCCGCGUGAAGGAUGAAGUAUUUCGGUAUGUAAACUUCGAAAGAAUAGGAAGAAUAAAUGACGGUACUAUUUAUAAGGUCCGGCUAACUACGUGCCAGCAGCCGCGGUAAUACGUAGGGACCAAGCGUUGUUCGGAUUUACUGGGCGUAAAGGGCGCGUAGGCGGCAUGACAAGUCACUUGUGAAAUCUCUGGGCUUAACCCAGAACGGCCAAGUGAUACUGUCGCGCUAGAGUGCAGAAGGGGCAAUCGGAAUUCUUGGUGUAGCGGUGAAAUGCGUAGAUAUCAAGAGGAACACCAGUGGCGAAGGCGGCUCACUGGAUCGGUACUGACGCUGAGGUGCGAAGCG